This 421-nucleotide ribosomal RNA is filed under the name uncultured archaeon. RNAcentral describes it as "partial 16S ribosomal RNA". It matches the Rfam family "Archaeal small subunit ribosomal RNA", at positions 323 to 746 of the family's 1478-position model. The record is from RNAcentral.
CUACGGGCGGCUGCAGUUAGGCAUAAUCUACAAUGUACGCAAGUAUGAUAGUUUGAGUCAGAGUGUCUAUCUAUUGAUAGACUUUUGCCAAAUGUAAAAAGUUUGGCGAAUAAGGACUGGGUAAGACGAGUGCCAGCCGCCGCGGUAAUACUCGCGGUCCAAGUCGCAGCCAUAUUUAUUGGGUCUAAAACAUCCGUAGCUUGCUUAAUAAGUUUCUUGUGAAAUCCUGGGUCUUAAGUCCAGGGCGGGCAAGAAGUACUGUUAAGCUAGAGACUGGAAGACGUGGGGAGUACGUUUAAAGUAGCGGUAAAAUGCUUUAAUCUUAAACGGACUUACAAUAGCGAAGGCACCCUACGAGGACAGUUCUGACAGUAAGGGAUGAAGGCUAGGGGCGGAAAAGGGAUUAGAUACCCCGGUAGUC